CCGCGUGAGGGAUGACGGCCUUCGGGUUGUAAACCUCUUUCAGUAGGGACGAAGCGAAAGUGACGGUACCUGCAGAAGAAGCACCGGCUAACUACGUGC
This 99-nucleotide ribosomal RNA is filed under the name uncultured bacterium. Its description in RNAcentral is "partial 16S ribosomal RNA". It matches the Rfam family "Bacterial small subunit ribosomal RNA", at positions 397 to 508 of the family's 1533-position model. The record is from RNAcentral.